GGAGGCUUUAGCUUAAUUAAAGUGUUUGAGUUGCAUUCAGAAGAUAUGGUGUAGUUGUCCAUAAGUCUUA
Molecule: transfer RNA, 70 nt
Filed under: Anolis lineatopus
Lineage: Eukaryota; Metazoa; Chordata; Lepidosauria; Squamata; Anolidae
Description: tRNA-Ala
Rfam family: tRNA
About the family: Transfer RNA (tRNA) molecules are approximately 80 nucleotides in length.
Source: RNAcentral